Molecule: unclassified non-coding RNA, 19 nt
Filed under: Chlamydomonas reinhardtii
Lineage: Eukaryota; Viridiplantae; Chlorophyta; Chlorophyceae; Chlamydomonadales; Chlamydomonadaceae
Description: small RNA Cre_1819
Source: RNAcentral
GGACGGGAUGAGAUGCAGG